RNAcentral lists this unclassified non-coding RNA (253 nucleotides) under uncultured Pseudobdellovibrionaceae bacterium. RNAcentral's name for it is "uncultured Bdellovibrionaceae bacterium contains 16S-23S intergenic spacer region". It matches the Rfam family "Bacterial small subunit ribosomal RNA", at positions 524 to 776 of the family's 1533-position model. The record is from RNAcentral. Lineage: Bacteria; Pseudomonadati; Bdellovibrionota; Bdellovibrionia; Bdellovibrionales; Pseudobdellovibrionaceae.
UACGAGGGGUCCUAGCGUUGUUCGGAAUUAUUGGGCGUAAAGCGGGUGUAGGUGGUUAUUUAAGUCAGAAGUGAAAGCCCUGGGCUCAACCCAGGAAGUGCUUUUGAUACUGAGUAACUUGAGUGUGGGAGAGGUUAGUAGAAUUCCUGGUGUAGUGGUGAAAUACGUAGAUAUCAGGAGGAAUACCGGUGUGGAAGCUGGCUAACUGGCCCAACACUGACACUCAGACCCGAAAGCGUGGGGAGCAAACAGG